GCCGCCGGAGCCUCGGCGAGGUGCGCGCGCGCACGGGCCCGGGCUCUCCCGGAUGGCGGUGGGACGAAGUGUGCGCGCCGCUCCCUCCUUCCAGCGCUCUCCGCUCCUGCUGGUCCCUCCAUCCUCGCCCCGCCUCAGGCCAGCCCGGAGCGCCGCCGACCCGCGAGCCCUGCAGCGGGGGCCAGUUGCCAACAACAGAAACCCGGAAUAGUGCCGAAGGAACUUGACCGGUCUUAACUCUAAGAAGGAAUCCAGCAAGGCGUUCCAGGACGGUCUUCCAGGGAAUCCGAAUUGAGUUUAUAGAUCAUGAACGGUUAAGCUUUUGACCUCUGAGGAAGGACGGAACGUGCCUGGAAAUUAGAUUGGAGCCCUACCUGAGAAGGUGUGCCCGUUAGUUGUGUAUCUGCCUCCCGCCUGGAGCACUUUCACAGGUGCUGACAAGCGGGUACCAGUAUUGCAUGGAAAAAGAAUGAAGAACCGCUCAGAACUGUGUGUAAACAUCUGUGGGAAUUUUUUUAAGGCUUCAGAAAGCUACAAAGAGAUGAGAUCAGGAAAUUUUUCCAGUACCACCCCGUGUAACCUGGUACUGGGCACAGAAAUCUGCAUGUUUCCUAAGCUCUCACGUGAUACUUAAGUAUGCUUGAGAACCUUUGUCGUAGGGCUUCCCUGGUUAACUACUUCUCACUUUUCUCAAAAACUAGCUAGCUAAGUGACAACCUGUUACGUGGAGGAGCAAGAAGUUACUUUUUCUUGCAAUAAAUCGCACUUAAGUAGGCUUGGCCUUGAGAGGGGUUGGGGCUAUACUGAGGGCACAGGUAAGAGCCAGGGUCCCCACAAAGGUGGAAGAACCAGGAGGUUCUAGAAUUAUGACACUGGUUAACAGUGACUUGAGCCCUUUGGAUGAAAUAACCCUCUUUACCUCAAAGGUGUCGUCCACCCACCCAAAACACGCAGCAUAGUACUACCACCAAUCUGGUGGGCUUCAAAGGUAAAGUCUGCCCUUAGCCGAAGAUUCCCUACUAACAGGAAGGCACUGACAAGCUUUACCUAAGCCUACUGGUGCUAUAUUGUAAUUCUUUCUGUACAUAAAUAAAACAGUUCCUGCAGACUCCUGGAUAAAUCAAAGGAAAGUUCUAUCUUAAGCUGAUAUGACACAACUCAGAAAAGGACUAGAAAUUAGAUCCAAUUGAUGACUGAGUUGAUCCCUAAGCAGGAUUUACCUUUGAAAUAAAACUCAACAGAGAAGGGGAAGUUCAGAUAACUCACUGGUAAUUUGGGGCAGGGGGGCUAGUUGAAUUCUCAUUUCAUAUGUCAAAAGCAAGUUCAAGGAGGAUUUAUGAGUUAAAUGUAUUUUUUAAAGCAAACCAGAAAAUACUAUUUGUUAAACCUCUGGGUAGAAGUAUUCCUCAACUUAGAAGCAAUAGAAGGAAAUGAUCAAUGGAUAUGACUGGGUAAUACCUAAAACUUCUAUGUGUCAAACAUUGUUUUAGACAGAAACCUAAACCAAAAAAAGAAAAAAAGUGACAGCAAAUAUUAAAAAAAAAAGUAUGAAUAUCUAUAAGUAGGGGUCAUACAGCUAAAGUAAAAUAUAGAAUCUCAGUUAUUGAGUAUAAACAGAAAACAAAUAAAUCACAUACAAAGACAUCAAAUAGUAAUAAAUAUAUGGUGAAAAUUAACCUUAUAGUAAUUAAAGAAAUACAUGUUAAAACAAACCAGUGAUAAAGAUAUAGAGAUAAUAAGCAAUGGUUUGCUCAUACAUUGAGGGUGUCAUUAUAAAAUGAUACUGUCCAUUUGGAAAGCAUUUUGACUCUAUGUUGUAGGUCAGGGUGCUCCUACAUUUUGAUUCAGAGGUCCCACUUCUGGGAAUCUAGCCAGAGACAUACUCCAAAAAAUGGGGAAAGUUAUAUGCUGCAAGUUGUAUAUCACAGCAUUAUUUAUAUUGAAGACUAGGCCACAACUUAAAGAUGCUAGAGGUAGGGGCUAUACCCAACUCCCUAUAGCCACCUGGACCACGAUGCUACUUCAUGUUUCUCUGCUUUACACAUAUCAUUCCUGGUCUCUACCUGAAAGACUGUCCUUGCCCUGUGUCUGUGAGCUGAGCUCUCUUCUCUCACUUAUCCUCAACACUUUUGAUCAGCAUUUUCCAGGCUCCCUCUUUCAUCCCCACAAGGCCUCCUACACUCUCCCAUUUUGGCCCUUGGAGACUACCUGUAAUUACUCGUUUCCCUCCCUGUCUCUUCCACUCUGCUACGUCUCCUUCAAGGGUGUGCUCCAUUUCCUUUUCAUCUUAGAAUUACUAGCAUCCUGCCAAUGUUUCAGGUGCUGGAUAAAUAUUUAUUUAAAAAUGGAUGAAUCAGGGACUUCCCUGGUGGUCCAGUGGUUAAGACUGUGGGCUCCCAAUGCAGGAGGCAUGGGUUUGACCCCCGGUCGGGGAACUAGGAUCCAGCAUGCCGCAUGGCACAGCCAAAAAAAAAGAAAAGGAUAAAUCAUUUACUCAAAACUUUUACAGACAUUAAGGAUGAUGAUUCUAAUCGCUUAUAUGUGGAAUCUAGAAAAAUGGUACAGAUGAACUUAUUUGCAAAGCAGAAAUAGAGACACAGAUGUAGAGACCAAAGUUAAGGAUACCAAGGGGGGAAGGGGGAGUGGGAUGAAUUGGGAGAUUGGGAUUGACAUAUAUACACUAAUAUGUGUAAAAUAGAUAACUAAUGAGAGCUACUAUAUAGCACAGGAAACUCUACUCAGUGCUCUGUGGUGACCUAAAUCAGAAGGAAAUCCAAAAACUGAGGGGAUAUAUAUAUACAUAUAACUGAUUCACUUUGCUGUGCAGUAGAAACUAACACAUCGUAAAGCAGCUAUAUGCCAAUAAAAAUUAAUUUUAAAAAAGGAGGAUGAUUUAAAGAGUAUGUGGCAAUGUGUGAAUACAUUAUAAUGUUCAAUUUUAAUUUUGUGGAAAUAUCUCAAAGUAAUAUAAAAGUUAGAUGAAAAAAGCAAGGUGCAAAAUAGUAUACAGAGUAGGCUACCAUUUUGUAAAAAAUAAUAAUAAUAAAGCAUGUUGGCAAAGGAGAGUGGAAAAUUUAUAUAUGCACAUAUUUCCUUGUUAAUGGGUAGGCUAUGUAUAGAAGAAAAUAAACUGGUAGUAGUGGUUUGGGGGGCAGGGGGCAGACUAGAGACCUAAAGAUAUGAUGGGAGGGAGGCCUGCUUUAUUUUUCAAUAUAUAAAAAAUAUAUAUGUAUUUUGUUUGUUUUCAAAAUUUGUACCAUGUAUAUGAUAUACCUGUUUUGAAAACAAAUCAAUCUACAAAAUUGUAUGCAAUUAUCUGAAAAAAGUUAAGCGUGAAUUCUUGACAAAUAAUGGUUGUUCAACUGUGGGAUUGUGGGUGAUUUUGUUUUCACGUUUCUGGUUUCUUUUUUAUUUAAUGUGGUUAUACUACUUUUACAAUGACAAAGAUAAAAUUAUAAAUAAAGACAUAAGCAAAUAA
Long non-coding RNA from Balaenoptera ricei (Rice's whale), 3478 nucleotides. RefSeq lists it as uncharacterized. The transcript is spliced from 2 exons. Lineage: Eukaryota; Metazoa; Chordata; Mammalia; Artiodactyla; Balaenopteridae. The record is from RefSeq and is a predicted model, not a curated record.